Molecule: ribosomal RNA, 388 nt
Filed under: Teratosphaeriaceae sp.
Lineage: Eukaryota; Fungi; Ascomycota; Dothideomycetes; Mycosphaerellales; Teratosphaeriaceae
Description: partial small subunit ribosomal RNA
Rfam family: Eukaryotic small subunit ribosomal RNA
Source: RNAcentral
AUUCCAGCUCCAAUAGCGUAUAUUAAAGUUGUUGCAGUUAAAAAGCUAGUAGUUGAACCUUGGGCCAGGCUGGCCGGUCCGCCUCACCGCGUGUACUGGUCCGGCCGGGCCUUUCCUUCUGGGGAGCCGCAUGCCCUUCACUGGGCGUGUCGGGGAACCAGGACUUUUACUGUGAAAAAAUUAGAGUGUUCAAAGCAGGCCUUUGCUCGAAUACAUUAGCAUGGAAUAAUAGAAUAGGACGUGCGGUUCUAUUUUGUUGGUUUCUAGGGCCGCCGUAAUGAUUAAUAGGGAUAGUCGGGGGCAUUAGUAUUCAAUUGUCAGAGGUGAAAUUCUUGGAUUUAUUGAAGACUAACUACUGCGAAAGCAUCUGCCAAGGAUGUUUUCAUUG